CUGUAGGUCAGAAGUCCAUGACUGGGUUCUCUGCUUGGGGUCACAUAGGCUGAAAUCAAGUCAGCAGGAAUCAUUGAUCAGUAGCCAGUGGAAAAUACCAGACGACUUUUGGAAAAUGCUGUUAAAAGCCUGUCAGCUCAUCGUCCUCACUUUUGCCAGUCUGGUAACCACUGUGAAGAAAGCAGAUUGAGAAGGGAGGAAACAAUGCCAGCGCUUUCUGAGGAUAAUGCAGGAUCUCAUUCAUGUGCACCACCUCAGCACCUGGCAUGUACUAGGAGCUCAAAUUUCCUAUGCUUAGCUGGUUAGGACUAUUUUAUUUUUUGGCUCAAAACAUUUUUCAAAAAUGUUGUAUCUUAAAUGGUUAUUAAUUGUUAACGAGAAAUAAGCCAGAGUGUAUGUUGGUCAAAUGG
Molecule: long non-coding RNA, 410 nt
Organism: Hyaena hyaena (striped hyena)
Lineage: Eukaryota; Metazoa; Chordata; Mammalia; Carnivora; Hyaenidae
Exons: 3
Source: RefSeq, a predicted model, not a curated record